RNAcentral lists this ribosomal RNA (349 nucleotides) under Ranodon sibiricus (Siberian salamander). RNAcentral describes it as "partial 16S ribosomal RNA". The stretch from base 162 to 349 matches the Rfam family "Bacterial large subunit ribosomal RNA", at positions 566 to 842 of the family's 2925-position model. The record is from RNAcentral. Lineage: Eukaryota; Metazoa; Chordata; Amphibia; Caudata; Hynobiidae.
GUACUAAAUCUAGCCUACUUAUUUUCUACAAGUAAUUUUAACAAAUAAAAUAAAACAUUUUACCACUUUAGUAUAGGAGAUAGAAAAAUUUACUUAGAGCAAUAAAAAUAGUACUGUAAAGGAAAAAUGAAAUAGAAAUUAAAUAAAACACAAAAACAAUAAAAAGCAAAGAUUUAACCUUGUACCUUUUGCAUCAUGGUCUAGUAAGUUUAACCUAACAUAAAGAACUUAAGUUAGACAUCCCGAAACUAAACGAGCUACUCCGAAGCAGCAUAUAUGAGCCAACCCUUCUCUGUAGCAAAAGAGUGGGAUGACUUCCGAGUAGUGGUGACAAACCUACCGAGCUUAG